This is a small nuclear RNA of Pongo abelii (Sumatran orangutan), 100 nucleotides long. The record is from Ensembl. Lineage: Eukaryota; Metazoa; Chordata; Mammalia; Primates; Hominidae.
UUGCUUUGGCAGCACAUAUACUAAAAUUGGAACGAUACAGAGAUUAGCAUGAUCUCUGCGCAAGGCUGACACACAAAUUCGUGAAGUAUUUCAUGUUUUU